GCUGACGAUAAACGCAAACGAAAAGCAUCUCGGUGUGUAGGAGCCUUAAAGCUAAACAUGGCAGCGCCCAGUCAGUACCUGGAUGGGAGACCACAAGGGAAAGCUGGGUUGCUGCCGGAA
RNAcentral lists this ribosomal RNA (120 nucleotides) under Danio rerio (zebrafish). Lineage: Eukaryota; Metazoa; Chordata; Actinopteri; Cypriniformes; Danionidae. The record is from RNAcentral.